UACAGGAAUAGGAACCUUCUGAUUCAACCUCUUGCCCACUUCACCUCUCUGGCAAAUAUGGUUUGUCCUCCAGACAGAGUGUGCUUUCUCUUGUGCUAGAAAAUGAACCAGAUUUCCCCCUUUCAGUUACGUCUAUCUGAUCGUUCUCAGGCUCUGUGCAGUGAUGAUAUUAUCAAAACAAAUCAGAAGGGAAAACUCUUA
This 201-nucleotide long non-coding RNA is filed under the name Actinidia chinensis (golden kiwifruit). RNAcentral's name for it is "long non-coding RNA (ACHI_LNC006483)". The record is from RNAcentral. Lineage: Eukaryota; Viridiplantae; Streptophyta; Magnoliopsida; Ericales; Actinidiaceae.